Molecule: long non-coding RNA, 643 nt
Organism: Juglans regia (Persian walnut)
Lineage: Eukaryota; Viridiplantae; Streptophyta; Magnoliopsida; Fagales; Juglandaceae
Exons: 2
Source: RefSeq, a predicted model, not a curated record
AUAGAAUUUACUAUUGAAGAAGAAAAGCCAAGGUCAAGGUUUUAUUCUUGUAGCGUAUAUCAUUUCCUCACUUCCACUUCAAAUUUAACUGCAGAUGCUCAAAUUUCAUGAUUUGUGUAGAUCCCUCAAACAUGUCCACCUGAUGCUGGCUGACUAACUGACUAUAAUAAAUAACAGUAUACCGAGGAUUUGGAUUCUGAUGGAGAUAAAAUUGGUCGCUUUUGAGGCACCUAUCCUUUGGCACGCAGUUGAUAGGUUAUAAUAGUAGGCUCUGUAAUCCGGAAAAGAAACUGCUAGAACUUCAUCAAAAGGAAAGCUGCUCAAAGAGCCCAACUCUGGCAUCUGAUUACUAGCACCCGUAAACUGAGGAGGUAGUUUGAAGAAUUGCUUGCUCCUGUAAGGUCUUGCUGCGGUACUGGAUGUUGUUCUUUCCACCUUUUUAUUUAUUUAUUUAUCUUUGGUUUUGUAAUCUAUCCUUUCUAGAUGGUAAAAGAAAAUAGAAUUUUGUACUAUACGGCUUUAGACCUAAUCUUCCGUGAGAGUCAAAGUUAUAGUGUAGGAAGACAGGUAGCAUUAGAGAUGAGAUGACCCCUGUAAACUCUCAUUUAUUUAAAUCAAAUAUCAUUCUUUUAAAAUUUAUGUA